AAUUGUUCGCAAUGGGCGAAAGCCUGACGCAGCGACGCCGCGUGGGUGAUGAAGGCCUUCGGGUCGUAAAGCCCUGUCGAGGGGGACGAACCGGUUGCGACCGAAUACGUCGCGACCCUGACGGUACCCCUAAAGGAAGCACCGGCUAACUCCGUGCCAGCAGCCGCGGUAAGACAGAGGGUGCAAACGUUGCUCGGAAUCACUGGGCGUAAAGGGCGUGUAGGCGGGGAAGUAAGUCGGGCGUGAAAUCCCCAGGCUCAACCUGGGAACUGCACUCGAAACUACUUCUCUUGAGUACCGGAGAGGAAAGCGGAAUACCUGGUGUAGAGGUGAAAUUCGUAGAUAUCAGGUGGAACACCAGUGGCGAAGGCGGCUUUCUGGACGGUAACUGACGCUGAGACGCGAAAGCGUGGGGAGCAAAC
This 422-nucleotide ribosomal RNA is filed under the name uncultured bacterium. RNAcentral describes it as "bacterial SSU rRNA". It matches the Rfam family "Bacterial small subunit ribosomal RNA", at positions 360 to 773 of the family's 1533-position model. The record is from RNAcentral.